RNAcentral lists this long non-coding RNA (865 nucleotides) under Rhinopithecus bieti (black snub-nosed monkey). Its description in RNAcentral is "lncRNA (ENSRBIG00000045743.1)". Lineage: Eukaryota; Metazoa; Chordata; Mammalia; Primates; Cercopithecidae. The record is from RNAcentral.
GGGUUGGCUCAGGUUUCCAAGUGACUUGGGGAUAGGGUUGCCAGAUAAAAUACAGGGCACCCAGUCAAACUUGAAUUUCAGAUAAAGAACAAACUUUUUUUUUCAGUAUUGCAUGGGACACACUUAUACAAAAAAAAAAAAAAAAUCAUUGUGUAUCUAAAAUUCAAAUUUAACUGGGUGCCCUGUAUUUUCAUUUGCUAAAUCUGGUUCCCCUUCUCCAAGAAAAUGACAGACUUUAUGUUGCUCUUUGCCACGAUCACUUCCAAAACACAUCCUGGCCCAAGCCCUUCCAACUUGAACGUUCUCUGUAAGCCAACAAAUGUCUGUGUGAAUUCUUCCUUUGCUGAAUGUCUCAAGUCUCUUUUUUUAUUGAAAUGGUAAUGCCGGCCACACCCUUACCUGAACAGGCUGGUCUCCUUCCCCUGACUCCUCCUCUGCCCUGUUUAUUGCUCAUUUCCCCUCCCCUGCCCUUGUCUUCUGGCCCAUUUCCAAAAGGGUCACAGCCAAAAACCUGUGCAUGGUUCACCACAACCAAGUAUUAACCAAUCAACAUGAACCAGCACUCCUCCCUCCUCCUCUUCACCCCCAGCCCAGUGAUAGUCAAUGCCCCUGCCUCCCUGGCCACCGAGACGUUGGAGAGCCAAUGGGCUGUGUCCAGUGGGAACACAGGAGCUGCAAGGACGGAGCCACCUGGAACCAGGAGGGACUAUGUUUGACCAAGGCUCAGUGGACUCACCACUGUGCCCAUGAGGAUUUUUACCUUCUGGACUGGCCUUCCCCACCACGUGCUGUGGGCCAUCCCUGCAACUUGGACCUAGGGCAGAAGUCUGUCCCCCUCUAUGUGGUCAAGAUGGAUGAAAGUUGA